CAUUAAGAGUCUUGCUUUUUUUGGACAAUUUUUUCUUUCCUUUCUGUGGUCAAUUUUAAUUUUAGCUUAAUCUGUAUUCUGCUGUGGUUUACCUUCCAGGCCCUGAGGCCAUGGCUAGACCUGAUUGCUCCUACCCAGGCCUUGCAGUCCCUGCACAUUACCAUCAACUGAGAGACAGUCAGACUGGCACAAAGGAGAAAUGUAACCAGGCCUUCAAAAAAAGAAGAAAAGAGGUCUGACCUGAGGAAUCACCAUGACACCAUCUGUAACUUCAGGAGAUGACAGGAGUCAAAGGAAAGGGAAGGAGGCAGGCCAGAAAAUGGCUUUAUAAGCAGUCGCCUUGGCUCAGGGCAGUGAAACCGUAAGGGC
Molecule: long non-coding RNA, 369 nt
Filed under: Cyanistes caeruleus (blue tit)
Lineage: Eukaryota; Metazoa; Chordata; Aves; Passeriformes; Paridae
Description: lncRNA (ENSCCEG00000010835.1)
Source: RNAcentral